This 1061-nucleotide long non-coding RNA is filed under the name Anolis carolinensis (green anole). RNAcentral's name for it is "lncRNA (ENSACAG00000041960.1)". Lineage: Eukaryota; Metazoa; Chordata; Lepidosauria; Squamata; Anolidae. The record is from RNAcentral.
AAACCUCUUACUUUUCACAUCAGCAGCAACUGUGGGAUAUUAAUGAGGAAGAGUUCCUUGACUUUUUGAAAGUUAAAUGAAACUGAAUCCAUGCUUGCCGAAGGAUUUUGCAGGUUGCUGAGCUUAGCAGAUUCUGCAAGCAGGAAUGAAUGAAGAUUACACUUCUUUUAUCAUCUCAUAGACAUGCUUAAAAUUUUAACUGUUUGCUUGGACAGGAAGAUUAACUUACCCUGAGGCUGUUGAAGUGCAUUGUAGCUGUUCAAAGUGAUUAGCAACACCUGUUUUUAAUCCAGAGAGCAGAAAAGGCACUGCAGAGGGUUGUAGAGAGCAGUUUGUAAUUCUUUCAAGAAUUAAGUGUUCCCCGCACUCAAGUGACUGCUGAAUGGGAUUUGCAAUACUCUUUUACUAAAGGUCCCUUUUAAAAAGAACCAAAAGACUUGAAUGUUUAUUCGGUCCAUAGGAAAAUUGCAUAAAGUGAUGGAAACCAGAGUUUGAGAAAGUUACUUUUUAAAUUCCACAGCAAUUUUCCCAUUUCCUUUUGAAGAUACACCUUUCAUGAGUUCCGGAAAAGUGUUCCAGAGGGAGAAGGAUAUUCCAAUGCUGGUAGUAUCCAAUGCAGCAGUGGUGAUGGCGGGGGUAAUUCUGCAACUUAACUGGUCACUGGACUCUGGGGAAAAAUAGGUAAGAUCCCGGUUUUGUGAGACUUAAGAAGAGAUACAACUAGUUCCCUUUCAUUGAACAUCUCCAAGUUAGCAAAACCCAAAUUAUGAUUUAUUACAUUUUCUCUUUCAAAGAAACAAACAAAUAGAAUACUAAUGGGGGCAUUAAGCACUGAAGGGCAAAAAUGAAUAUUAAAAUGAGAAGCUUGGCAAAAAAAAAAUGGCAAUGACCACCUGGAUGAAAUAAAUUGCACUGCCAGCCAUGAUAUUAGCUGGCUGUUAGAUGUGGCUUUUUCAUUCUCUCUUUGUUCAAGUUAUUGCUAGAGAAGGAUUACUGUGCAAAUAAAAGCUAGUGGGGUUGACAGUACAGAAUGUUAAAACAAAUCAUGAUUUAGAAUGAAA